AGGGAAGGGAGUUUCUAGACAGUCUAAUCCUUGCUUAUAGUUUGCAAUGAGCUGCUUUGGACCCAGGACCACCAGAACACAAGCGGAGAAGUUCUAUCACUGCACCAGGCCUGCCCCUUCACUCUAGGAAUUGGCAAUACAAAAGAAUAAUUUUGAAUCGUUUUGACAAUGCCAAUUCCUUGUACUACAACAUAAAACUUGUAUCAAAUGCAAGUCUAAAUCAUCCAGGAUACAAAAUAUGUGAAUAAAUGAUUAAUAUAUAUACGCAUACCAACACCCACAGUGCAGCUACAUGUCUGGUGAGAGUUUGAUCAGUUGGUAAAAAGAAAAUACUGUUAAAUGAUUAAACCACAAAAGGGGGAAAUGGAAAAUUUACUGGGGUGAAAGCACAACACAUAGUGAAUUGCAUUAGAAACAUACGGGAAACUAUGGACAAAGUAUUGGAGUGCUUUAUCACCAUACCUUAAUAUUUUCAUAAACUCCUAAGAAGAAAUUCAGAAAAUGAAUUGCAUUAGAAACCUAUAAAGUUGCGCGAUUUUCUCACUUCACGAUUGCAAAUUACUUUCCUGCUUUCUAAACUUGCAUCUGGUUGCAGCACUAAAUAGAUUAUGGAGCUAAGUAAAAUAACCAGACAAGUUACGGUGGCUUCAACACAAUCUACUCUCCAAAAACUACUAUCAGCUGUACCUGACUCACUCCAUAAAUAAACAUUGAUAUAGAGUGUCAAGCUUGCAGAAUUUGAAUAUUUCACCUAAAAAAAGCAUCCAAAAAAUGGUGACCAUGUUUGCCAUGUUAUGUUAAAACAGUGUACAGAAAGUCAGCCAGGGCAUCUAGGAGGUCCUAGGCAAUUGAAUGAUACAAGGUGGAGACAAAUGUGGCAUUUUGCUACGAACAAUUUAUCAUGGAGAGGAUGCUUGGCUGAAUCUAAGGAGAGAUUUUCAGUAAACCCUUUGAACAUUCUCCAAUACAUGAGUGACAGCAUAUCUCAUUAACCAAUGCAAUCAGGCAAGCCAACUAAUUCAAAAAUAGAUCAAUUGUUCAUAAUCAUUUAGUGAAUACACACGGUUAGGCAUGCAGUACCUGUGAAACAUAGUUUCAUUCCAAUUCUGACCAAGCAAACAUGCAGUCAGGUAUUAUCCAAUUAAAAGUUUAAAACCAUACAUGUGUGUCUUGAAGAAAGAACCACAAGAAGUUCAAAGAGGAAUAGUCGCACACAAAUUGCAGCAAAGACUGGAUAGCGAACAUUGUACUUGAAAGUGAAUAACAAGCGACUCCUAGUAGGAGUAAGUGGUCUGAAUCUCAACUCAAAGAGGGAUAGACCUGCAGGCACUAGAUCGGACAAAAACUUUGUGGAUAUUGCCCCCAACGGAUUUUAGGCCAAACAGCACAUCAAACAGGUACAACAUUGCUAUCACCAUCCUAUUACCUUAAAUUGCACAAAACCACACCUCUGGUCAAAAUCACUAACAUAUAGAUGACUACAACAAACAACAAUAUGUCAAAAGACUAGGUGGCAUCACUACAAUUCUUCCCUACAGCAGCCAAGAACCCAAACCAGAUGCACUCCACCAGCAACACACUGACCAUUUUGCUCCAUUUGUGCCAAAUUAUGCAAACAGUGAGAAUGACAAGCACUGAUCCAACUAAAAUGAACAUGAAUAAAAAAUUACAAACAAAAGAAGAAACU
This 1687-nucleotide long non-coding RNA is filed under the name Setaria italica (foxtail millet). Its description in RNAcentral is "long non-coding RNA (SITA_LNC005078)". Lineage: Eukaryota; Viridiplantae; Streptophyta; Magnoliopsida; Poales; Poaceae. The record is from RNAcentral.